UCCCAUUAUUUUUAAAUCCAAGAACCUUUCCAACAUUGAGCUGAAAUUAAAGAUAACAACCUCUCCUAAAAGACUCCAAGAACACAUGUUAGUUCCUGCCUGAAGAGGGGUUUGUAUGCCAUAAAGAAAGACACACAGACACACAGGUACACAGGCAUGUACACACACACACAUACUUGCAUACACACACAAAAAAUACAUAAAUUAAUAUGAGUUUAAAAAGAGCCAGAGUCUUAAUAAACUACCAAGGUUUACAUCCAAACUCCCUUUCUUCAUGGUUAGAUGAACUUUCCAGUCUCUCUGGACCCUGUCCUGGGGAUAAUAGAAAUACCUACCUCACAUUUCAGUUGGAAGACUGAAACGACCUAAAACAUACAAAGUUAUCAGUAGAAUGCCUGGCAUACUGAAUCCUCCUGAAAGAUAAGCUGUAAUUCCUGUCAUCUGUGGAGCUCAUUUUAGGUUACUUACAUAACCUUCUGGAGCACAAACCAACUGAACCUGUUUGAAGAUAAAUGGAGAAGGAGCAGCUCCUCCAUGGGAAGAAAGGGCAUGGAGAAGAGAAUCACCCCCACAGGAUUAAAGCUAAUGUUUGAACAGUAGGCCUUGAGGUAGGAGGAGAAUCCCCAAAGGAUUGGAACAAGAAAAGAAACACUUAAUUUAAAUCAGCACUACAUACCUGGCAGUUGGUGAAAAAAAAAAAAAAAAAAAAAAAACGAAAGUGCUAUAAAACAGUUCAUCAGGAAGUGCCAUGCUGUGUUAAAUUAUAGGUAAUAAAGUCACCGUGUCAUGAAGAAAGCCACUACACAGACUAGGAAAUGACUUUUCUAAGCUGUGAGAGUCACAUUCAUUUCUAUUUCCUGGGAUUACCCAAGGGGCAUGACUGCAUUUGGAUGACAGUAAGCGCACACUGCCUGCCAGGUCCUUGUGGUUCUGUGAGAAGCCCUGAAAUUUCAGUAUCUUUGCAAAACAGAUACUGAACACUAAAAGGCAUACACUGAAGAAGGCAUACAUGGCUGAAGCUUCUGGGCUUAAAUGAAGUUGGACUUAUACUCCCCCAAGACUCCUCCUCAAAGACAGCACCAAACGAUGCUGCAGCCCAACUCAGGUGCUAGGGGAAGAUUGUGCCCCACCUGUCAGAUGUUGGAUAUAAGAAUUAAGGGACUCUGGGGGGCACAGGACAGAUAGAGGAGCUCUGAAAGGUUGAUAUCACUUAAGGUUACAAUGAAGAAGUCUCGGCUACCAGAAUAAGUGUAGCUACCGCCCCUUCUCAGAGAAGCCCUUUAACAACAAAUGGAGCCAUCACAGAAAACCACAACUGGACACCAUGCAGAGAUCAGCACAUCAUGGAGAGCCCAGACACAAUGGAUACAUCUACAUUACAGUUCCUACAUCUGUGGUGUGGGGAACAUCUGGGAAAAGGGACAGAAAGAUUUUAAGGGCCAGAUAGAAGAAAGUCUGCUGAGAAACAGUCUCUUCUAGAAAUGGCAUCAUAGACAAGAUUGGAACAAUGGCAAUAUCAGUGGACAUGUUAAUGUGGAAGGGGGAAAUUCUGGGGGGGCUCCACUCUUAGAAAAAAAUUAUAGGCAACUGAAGACCGCUGGGUGAAGGGGAAUUAGCCUCUCCCAGGGAUGAGGCCCUUAUUCCCUUAUUGAUGUCCAAUGCAGGGAUGAGGUUAAAAAAAAAAAAGCUCUGAAGACUUUUUUUAACCUCAUGGUUGUAUGUAAGUAAGUAAGUAGGUAUGUAUGUAUGUGUGUGUUUGUGUGUGUAUGUAUUCAUGUAUGUAUGUAUGUAUGUAUGUAUGUAUGUAUAUGCUGUCAAUGAGAGUGGAGGGCACUGGAGGAUUCAAGGUAAGGUAAUUAGAAAGAGCUGGAAGGAGGGAAGGGAAAGAGAAAGUUGAUGUAACUCUAUCGCAAUUAAAAGCAUAAUAAAAAUUUAAGACUGUUUUAACUAUUCUCUUUCCACAAUAGAAUUUUCUCUGGACAAAUGAUUACACAAUGAAAAUCAAUUAAACUGAUGAUCAUGGAUUCUGUGUCUCCACUGCUUUAAAUUUAUUAAACCUGUUUUUGAAUGUGUUUAAGUGCUCAGCAGUUUACAAGCGGCACUACCAAAUUCAUUAAAACCCAUUUGUUACCUAAUUUAAACAUUGUGAAAAGGCCAAAACAAUUAUCCUAGGGAUGGAGCUAACAUAUAGACACAUGGAUUCUUCAUCAUGGUUAGUGGGCUCUUCUGCAGAAUAUUGCUUCACCUGUAUGUAUAUAGGGCUCUCCUGCUCCAGGCUGUGCUGUACAAAAGAUGGAGAUAAAGAGGGCUGGGUUGUCUUAUUUUGUAUUCCUAGUGAAACUGAGUAUAAUACCACACACCUGCAAUUUUAGCACUGGGAAGGUUGAAGCAGGAUGGAAGUUUUAGGUCAGCAUGGGAUACAUAGAAAGACCCUGUCUAAAACAAAAAUCAAAACAUCCAAGAAUGAAAUGUGCCCUGGAUAUUCAGGAUGGUAUAUCCUGUCAAGGGUUAUCUUUUCUGUCAACAUGGAUUACUGCAGAAUACAGUUGUGUUGUUCAUUUCAGACUCAUCUAGGAGAUAUGAAGGGAAAUUAAUUAUCAGCUAAUUUUAGACCAAUUAGUACACAAGUCUAGCAUAAAUUGGAAUCUACUUCUCUACUACAUCUAAAUUUCUUUAUCAAAUAUAUUAUUUGUAUCAAGAUAACCAAGUCCGAGGACAGUGAAAGAGUAAAUAAACCAUGGUGUUAUCUUGGUGUUUGCUUCUGCAUCUCUGCAGAAGGGUAGGGAUUAGGGAACAACGCCAUUUCGUGUAAAGGAGGCCACUGUGCACAUUACUGAACCCAUUUAAUACUAGGAGAGUCUGACACUUGGUUAAGUUAAAGAAUCUUGUGAAGGUUAUGCAGCUAAUAAAAUGUAAGAUGAAAGAUUCCUAUCCCAGUGUCUUCAAAGCAGCUUUUCAGAUACAGGUGAAAACAAAGUUGUGGUUCAGGGAUAAGAGUUGACUAAGAUAAACAAGGCAAAGGUAAGAUUGUUUUGUGUAAACCCCUUAUCUGGUCCAGAAAAUGUGCACUCAAGCCGGAUUGACUUCUAGAGCUUAUUGGACCAAACAAAACCCAAGAAAUGGCUUUAUCUUAAUACACAAAAAGGGUCGAUGGUAGGCUUUGGUUUGGGAACAGAUUCUCUUUAGCUAGUAGAAGCAUUGUAAGGCAUUAUGUUGAGAAAGUAUUCUGAGAGCUUGGUCAAGUUGGUAGUAAAGAGUCGUGUGCUUGGUUAGCUGUGUCUGCACAACCUGUGGGGAACAGAAGGAAUGGCAUGAGUGUCUCAGAUUUUUUCACCCUUGCUCUAGGCACAAAAAUCAGAGAAUACUUAGCAAUAGCUUUCCCAAGAAAAGUCCCAAGAGCUUGCUUCUACUUCUAUUCAUUAACUGAACCCCAAUCCAUACAACAUGCCUAGGAGUAUGUAGCAGUGGCCAAGAUACCAUUGGUAACUGUCUUCAACAUGAAUGCAGAACCUCAUUUUUCAACAGAGGAAAUGGACUUCCAACAAGUGAAAGGACAGACGUCCUUGACAAAUAAUUACUCUUCAUAUUAGCCAAAAGAGCCAUCAUAAGCUAAAUAUUCUCAGCAAAAUAUUAUAUUACCACAGAAAAUACAGUACAAAAAUACUUUUACAGCUGUCCCAAGAGAAUCUCAAUAACUCUUGCUACUACCACUCCAUAUGUAGUUUCAACUAGCAAAUUAAUAUACCUCUUUUUAAAAGCCAUUUUUGUGAGGGGAAGAAUGAAAGAAAGUGAAAAAGAAAUAUUGUCUCUCAAGGGUGAAGUAGAUGUUCGUAAUUCCACAGUCAACUUCUUGGGUCUUAAGGAUUGGAUAUUGAAUCUGCCUGUUGAGGAAAUGGAAGUUUGAAGCCAGGACAGACUGGCACUCAGAGGACAGUGGGAUGUUGUAUUGCCCACAUCAACUUACCCUGCCCCAUUUUCCUCAUCUGUAUGCUGUUGUCAACCUUACUUCCUGAUAUCUUUUUAAAAGUACAUCUAUGGCAUUCCAACUUCAAGGGGGUUUCAAAGGGACAGUGCCCAAGGCAUGAAAGGAUUUAUUUAAUGCACAAAUAAGUAGUCCUAAAAUGUUAAAAUCUUUUCAAUACACCACCUGACCUAGAAAAGCCAGGUAUCUCUGUGUGUGUGUUUGUGUGUACAUAUGUAUGUGCAUAUGUGUGUGUGUGUGUGUGUGUGUGUGUGUGUGUGUGUGUGUGUGUGUGUAGCACCAAGGACUUGUGGGAGGGGAAGAAUAUGACCAAAAUAUAUAUCAUCAACUUGAGAGAGGCCAGGGGGUGGUACAUGAGAAGGGUUAAAGAGGAAGGAGAAAAUGAUGUAAUUAUAUUUCAAUUUCAAAAAAAUAAGAAAAUAUAAAAAAGGAGCAUUAAUGAUUGAAGGAAGAAUUUGGACUAGUAAAAUGGAAGAAUAACGUGUUUUCCUACAAAGCAUUCAUGAGCUGUAAAUGGGAUUACACACAAGCUACAGUGUACUACCUCUAGUUUAAUAAUUUUGUAGUACUCAAAGGAAAUCAAAUUCUACUAAUUUUAGAUAUUCUAACAGCAUUGACCAUUUGACUCUGAUCCUGAAAAUAUAGCACACAGACAUGGACAAUUAGAUGAAAAUGAUGAUUGUUUACAGGAACUGUAGGUUGUUCCUGGUUAAUCUGCCUUUGUUAUGUGCUGAGGGACAGAUAGAAACAUUCAAUUGUAGAAGCUCUGGUGGCACUGGCACAGAAUGUAAUCCCUAGUAGUCAGAUUGUUUUCCCCACAGAGAUCCAGUGCUUGAGACAAUCAGUCCCUGAGUAAAUUCGUGUUUCUUUUCAAGUCCAAGAUCAAGUGGACUCAUUCUAUGUGCCUCUAAUGGGUGUGUCAGAUGGCAGUGACAGACAGACAGCAUGGUGAAAUAAUCUGCUCAGCCCAUAGGCAGGAAACAAAAGAGAAGAGGAAGAGGGCACACAAUUGAGGGCACAUCCUUAGUGACCUGAGCUUCUUCCACAAAUGCCCCGCCCUAAGGUCCAGGGUCCUUUCAGAUAGUCUACCACAGAAAACAAGUAAAGACUCUCAGAUUGCUGAGGACUGUUCAACAAUCAGACUAUUGAUUAUGCUUUGGAGAGAAGGACACAUAGGAGCAAACAAAGUAAGUCAUCAGGGUAGGCCCUAAUCUAAUCUAACUGGUGUCCUUGCAAGAGGAAGUUGAGGCACAAACUGGCAUAGAGGGAAGACAUUGCAAAGACAGAGGGAGAGAACGACAAUUUACAAGCCACAAAAAAAGACCUCAGAAGCUACCAAGGCUACUGACAUCUUGAUCUCAGGGUUGUGGCUUACAGAUCUAUACCUUUUAGGUACAGAAUGUGCCAUCUGUUGGUGAUACUUUCUUAUGCCAUUUCUAUUAAGCUAAUCAACAUAGCAUGUAUGGAUCUAUCUGUGAUCCUGGCUUGCCUCUUGAGGUUUAUCUGUGUGUACUAAGCAGACUGAAGAAUGAAAGACAAGCCUUGGGGCAUCAGGUUAGUGGUAAGGCACAGACAAACGUUCUCUUCAUACUGAGAUGCAGGCUGUAGAGCCAUUUUCAUUUUAAAAUAUCUUCAGACACCUUAAGGAAUUUGCCCACAACACUGUGGACACAGUUUCCCAGAUCCUUCCCAUUGCCUCUUCUCUCAGCAUUCCUACAUGGGACUACUCCUCUCUCUGCAACUUUAACUGAAACUCUCAAGGCACUUUCUGAACCGUUGAGUCUACUUUUGUAAAGAGUCUUUCCUGGCUGACCUCAACCAUUGCCUUUUUUACUCUGCUUCUGUAGGUAAAGAUAGUCUCAAGUACUUAAGGGCUAGCUCUAAGCAGGGCCAGCUAAAUUGCCGUUGGAUUGCAUUGAUGCACUCUUGUGGAUUUAAGUAGAGUUUUCUGUUUUUUAUCUUAUAGAUUUCUGUCCUUUGUUCUUUCUUAACACGUUUCAUUUUCUUUGAACACUAAAGGCAGUAAUUUCUAUGUAGGGAGUGCCCUUAAUAUGCCUGGUGUUUUAUAUCAUUAGCUGUAUCUUCAAACAUACCUGUUAUAAAGGUUAGGAAAUAUAGGUGAUAUUUGUGACCAUUUUCAUAGGGAAGAAAUAUAUUAUCUUAAAAGACCUCAGUGGGCCUGAAAUUUUAGCCAAUCUAAUCUAAAAUCCAGCAUUUCCUAAUAGUUAUGUGCUUUGAAAUUUUAGUCAAAUUCAUGUCACUGUUCCUACCUUUACCCUGUUCCAUAUACUAGUUAUGCUGCUAUUUACUUAACGUUUCUUUUUACUCAACUGAAAACUUCAGGCUUCUAUCAUUUUAAAUAAUAUGCAGUUAUACAUUUGAUGUAACAAUUGUAGUUAAAAUGUGUAAGUAUUCUGACCAGAGCAAAGCUAUUCUGAGGAGAGACACUGACUUUCCAUCAGCUAUCAGACUAUUGAAACAACGGUCCUGAAGGAAUUGGAAUUUACACAGAAAUCUCAUGCUGGGAGAAGGAAGAGGCUGAAUCCUGGUGUCAGUCAGAAAAGAUACUUAUAUUCCAGGAGGAGAGUUACACAGUUUUGGCAACUUGUCCAACCACCUUGCUGGAUAGACUAGAGCAGAGACAUUGAUGCGUUGGUGCUGGGCAGGACCAUGCAUUGAUUAGGACUGCUAAGAGAUGCAUACCUCUCUCACGUUCUUUAAGUCCAAACCUUAUGCUUUCUUCCUCCAGGAUGGAGAUUCCUUUCCAGGCAUGCUCCCAUAGAGUUUCUCGAGCAGUUCGCAGGAUGCUCGUUUGUUCAUGAAAACCUCAGAUUGCUUUCAUAACAAAGUAGCUUCCAGAGUGAAGGAGCCAUGUCUGGCAGCGCUGGAUCGUCCUCUGAGCAAAUGUUUUACAUUUAGUUUCGAUCACAGUAGUUUAAGGCUAUUGUAUGUUAGAAAAUGCCACACUGACACACUGAAUUUGCCACUGUUGCGAAGAUUUUUGUAGAUUUUAUUCACUUCGAUUAUCAACCAACUUUGAAGUCUAUCCUCUAUAGCAGUGUGAGUGGGUCUCAGUCAAUCAAGUAAAGACCCCAAGAGCAAAAUUUGAGGUUACCUGGGAGGAAGAAAUGCUGCCUCAACUGCAUCUCCUGCCUGAUUUCCCAACCUGUUUUACAAAUUAUGGACUGGACAGUCCCCAUUAGAGGACUUACCUUGCUUUACAAACACACAUGCACAUGCACGCACUGCACAAAUGCACACUAUUGGUUUUGAUUUUCCAAAGCACCCUGACAUACUGUGCAAAUGCAAUAUGCAUGCAGGAAGGCAGCCAAGAUUGCAAGGAGCCUGAAAACCAGGAGGAUCCCUAAUCUGCAGCAGGUGUGACAAGUCGCUGGAGGUGAUAUUUAGCUAGAAUAAAUAGGAAGAUGGGAAGUCUUAAAUGAGAUUUUGUAGCUAUCUUCCUACAUUUGAAGGCUUAAAUGUGGGAGAACCAAACUUAUUCUUGUUGCCUAAGAAAAUAGAAUAGUGCUCUAAAAGUAGAAGUUACAGUGGGCAGAUCAGAUCAUUGUAAGCUAAGAGAUGGCUAAUUAUGAGCACUAAGUUGACUUCCACUCAAAACAUUGAGCUCAUAGGGACCAGCAUCCAAUAAGAACUGCACUAUGAAGUUAGAAUAAGGACUCCUGGAUUGAGUAAGAAAAAAAAGUGUGACCUAGAAGCUUUUUCUGAGCCCGGCAGAGUCAAAACGACAGCCCCCAAUUACUGGGCAUGCUUAUGUGCUGAGCAUCAUGCCUAGCAUUUUGCACAUUUGAUUAGUCAGCUUUAUCCUUUCAAACCCUGAAGAUGGACUUUUACAUCUUUGCUAAUAAAGAGGAACAAGGUUCAUAAAAGCUUGAUAGCUGGUCCAACAUAAUUCAAUAAGUUGUAGUACUAGACUUGAAGGCAAGACCUGUGUGAGUCUUCAGGCUCCCUGUAGUUCUUAUAAUAGAGAGCAAGACCAUGCAGCAAAGAUCUACUUUUCUAUAAUAGUAAAAUUUAAAAUUUAAGCACAGUCCACCAGUUUAUGUACUUGAUCUUUAACAUAGUUAUCCCAAUUAUAUCUUUCUCUUUCAGUCUUCAGUCUAACACAGAAAAUGCAUCUGGACAAGGCAAGACCUUGUUUGUCAAAGGAUUCAAAGUAUAAAUUAUGUAUUCUUCUCUUAAACAAAUACUGGUUGACUGAAGACAGUUGUUAUUUCAGAAUAUAGCUACAGACAGGAUAGGCAUGGCCCCUGCCCCACCAAGAAACACAUUUUCAACUAUGAAAACAGAUACUAAAUUGAAAUGUAUCUAUAAGUAUUUAAAGACAAAUUGUCACCAAAGCAAAGGAAAAGAAUGGAACUCCUAGAAUAUUAUGUGAGGUUUUUUUUUCUCUUUUAUGUGAGACUUUAUCUCUUCUAGGUCAGAAAAGACAUCUCUCAGUGAGUGGCUGCAGGGUGAAGGGUGCAUGAUGUUUAGUAGGGACAGGGUACAACAUGGCUCUGAAGUUGUAAGCUACUAGAAUCCUUGAAGAACUGAUCAACAGCUAGUGUGACUGCCUUAUGAAGAAAAGCUGUAGAGUCUCAGAGGCAUGAGAUGCAACUGAGGAGUAAGAUCAAGUCUACUUCAUUCAGGACCAUGGAAAAUGUGUAAUCUUUUAAAAGGAAUGAAUUAGAGAUGAAGAUAACUUGGAGGCUUAGACAGAUCAACCGUAAGUUUGAAGAUAAGAUCAUAGCUGGACCUUGGGUUGUGUAUGGAAAGGUUAUACAUGGCAGACCUAAUAUGGUUACUCUCAGAACAUUUCUAUUUUCAAGACUGGCAUCAGAAAACCCAGGCACUUGUAAGUCCCACCAUUUUCAGAAUAAGUAAGAGUGUGUGAGGGUUCCUGAACUGUGAAAUAAUACAGUUUAUGCUGAAGACGUGCCUGUCCUUCAGGAGUCUGGAAUUUUAAGACACCAGGCAGAGGGUGGCUACAUGAGCACUCCUCAAUGAAACCCAUGAGAUGAUGAGCCUUUUGAAAUAUCCCCUGACAACACUUCACAAAACCUGUCAUCUGUUGCUGGAGGGAUAAAGACAUUCUGGGGACUUCGCUGCAUGGGACUCUUGGAAGUUUCUGAUGGCUUCCUUGGGUGUCUACCUAAUAUGAUUUCUACCUUGGCUCAUUUUACUUUGUGUCCUUUCUCUCUAAUGAAUCUUAGCUAUGAACAUGACUAUAUGAGCCUCACUAGUCCUAACAAACUACUCAAUCUGGUGGGAGCACUUUUGGAGACUCCUGGCACAGGAAGAAUGGCUACUAUAACCUAGAAGCCCACAGAGACCUUCAAGCUUCCUGCUUGAUCAUAGAAGGGCUUAAAGGCAGGGCUGGAAUAGCCUGCUGCACCUGGGCAAUUGAGCCUUUAUAUUUGCUUUACUACUGUAGGGUCUGGAAAUUUCUACAGUGAUUCACAGCUGGGUAAUCAAAAUUUAAAGAUAUUCACAAAUUUUCAAUGAAGACUCAUAAUAAAUAUUAAAAAGCCACUGUAAUCCCCAGUGCCACUGCCCUAGAUUUUCCAGGAGCAUGCCGUGUUACCUUUGGGAGAUCAGAAAGUCCAUGUCAUAGCUCUAUACAGUUCUAACCUAUCUGUCCUUAUUAGAAUUCAGAUGCACUAAUGAGUGCAAUAAAGGUGUACUCCAGGGCAUUUCAAUUUUAUGCCUUUAUAUUAAGUCAUCCAAUCUUAUGGUUUAAUGCCCUCUUUUGAUGGAUACAAUUUAUUAUACAGGACCAAGAAAAACAAGUCACGCCUUUGAAUUUUAUCUGUUAAUUGCAAAAACUGUCAAUAGAAACAUACUAGAA
Long non-coding RNA from Peromyscus californicus insignis, 9830 nucleotides. RefSeq lists it as uncharacterized. The record is from RefSeq and is a predicted model, not a curated record. The transcript has 3 exons. Lineage: Eukaryota; Metazoa; Chordata; Mammalia; Rodentia; Cricetidae.